Molecule: transfer RNA, 72 nt
Filed under: Rhipicephalus microplus (southern cattle tick)
Lineage: Eukaryota; Metazoa; Arthropoda; Arachnida; Ixodida; Ixodidae
Description: tRNA-Gln
Rfam family: tRNA
About the family: Transfer RNA (tRNA) molecules are approximately 80 nucleotides in length. Their secondary structure includes four short double-helical elements and three loops (D, anti-codon, and T loops).
Source: Rfam by way of RNAcentral
GGUCUCAUGGUGUAAUGGUUAGCACUCUGGACUUUGAAUCCAGCGAUCUGAGUUCAAAUCUUGGUGAGACCU